AGAAGAGCCUGCUUCCUCCUCUCUCUUUCUGCCUGCCUCUCUGCCACUUGUGACAGACUUGUGUGUCUGCCACUUGUGUCUGUCAAAUAAAGAAAUAAAAUCUUGAGAAAAAAAAAGAGGACGACCUUCCCUGAUAGAGAAGGACCUUGCUUUGGUCAAGGUUAUACAAGUAGCUGUGCUCCCCAGUUAGAACCUCCAAACAAGCUCCCAAGGAGAACAUAGGGUAACCAAGCUUUAGUAUUAUUAUUUAAGAUUUUAUUU
RNAcentral lists this small nuclear RNA (261 nucleotides) under Neogale vison (American mink). Its description in RNAcentral is "Neovison vison (American mink) 7SK RNA (ENSNVIG00000011362.1)". It matches the Rfam family "7SK RNA". From Rfam's summary of the family: 7SK was discovered as an abundant small nuclear RNA in the mid-70s but a possible function has only recently been suggested. Two independent studies have found that 7SK RNA binds the CDK9/cyclin T complex (known as elongation factor P-TEFb). P-TEFb activates transcription by phosphorylating the C-terminal domain of RNA polymerase II. The record is from RNAcentral. Lineage: Eukaryota; Metazoa; Chordata; Mammalia; Carnivora; Mustelidae.